GACGAACGCUGGCGGCGUGCUUAACACAUGCAAGUCGAACGGAGAGGCCCUGCUUUUGUGGGGUGCUCGAGUGGCGAACGGGUGAGUAACACGUGAGUAACCUGCCCUUGACUUUGGGAUAACUUCAGGAAACUGGGGCUAAUACCGGAUAGGAGCUCCUGCUGCAUGGUGGGGGUUGGAAAGUUUCGGCGGUUGGGGAUGGACUCGCGGCUUAUCAGCUUGUUGGUGGGGUAGUGGCUUACCAAGGCUUUGACGGGUAGCCGGCCUGAGAGGGUGACCGGCCACAUUGGGACUGAGAUACGGCCCAGACUCCUACGGGAGGCAGCAGUGGGGAAUAUUGCACAAUGGGCGGAAGCCUGAUGCAGCAACGCCGCGUGCGGGAUGACGGCCUUCGGGUUGUAAACCGCUUUCGCCUGUGACGAAGCGUGGGUGACGGUAAUGGGUAAAGAAGCACCGGCUAACUACGU
Molecule: ribosomal RNA, 467 nt
Filed under: uncultured bacterium
Lineage: Bacteria
Description: partial 16S ribosomal RNA
Rfam family: Bacterial small subunit ribosomal RNA
Source: RNAcentral